AGAGUUUGAUCCUGGCUCAGGACGAACGCUGGCGGCGUGCUUAACACAUGCAAGUCGAACGGGAAGGCCCUGCUUUUGUGGGGUGCUCGAGUGGCGAACGGGUGAGUAACACGUGAGUAACCUGCCCUUGACUUUGGGAUAACUUCAGGAAACUGGGGCUAAUACCGGAUAGGAGCUCCUGCUGCAUGGUGGGGGUUGGAAAGUUUCGGCGGUUGGGGAUGGACUCGCGGCUUAUCAGCUUGUUGGUGGGGUAGUGGCUUACCAAGGCUUUGACGGGUAGCCGGCCUGAGAGGGUGACCGGCCACAUUGGGACUGAGAUACGGCCCAGACUCCUACGGGAGGCAGCAGUGGGGAAUAUUGCACAAUGGGCGGAAGCCUGAUGCAGCAACGCCGCGUGCGGGAUGACAGCCUUCGGGUUGUAAACCGCUUUCGCCUGUGACGAAGCGUGAGUGACGGUAAUGGGUAAAGAAGCACCGGCUAACUACGUGCCAGCAGCCGCGGUGAUACGUAGGGUGCGAGCGUUGUCCGGAUUUAUUGGGCGUAAAGGGCUCGUAGGUGGUUGAUCGCGUCGGAAGUGUAAUCUUGGGGCUUAACCCUGAGCGUGCUUUCGAUACGGGUUGACUUGAGGAAGGUAGGGGAGAAUGGAAUUCCUGGUGGAGCGGUGGAAUGCGCAGAUAUCAGGAGGAACACCAGUGGCGAAGGCGGUUCUCUGGGCCUUUCCUGACGCUGAGGAGCGAAAGCGUGGGGAGCGAACAGGCUUAGAUACCCUGGUAGUCCACGCUGUAAACGGUGGGUACUAGGUGUGGGGUCCAUUCCACGGGGUUCCGUGCCGUANCUAAC
RNAcentral lists this ribosomal RNA (840 nucleotides) under uncultured Actinomycetes bacterium. Its description in RNAcentral is "bacterial SSU rRNA". It matches the Rfam family "Bacterial small subunit ribosomal RNA", at positions 8 to 856 of the family's 1533-position model. Lineage: Bacteria; Bacillati; Actinomycetota; Actinomycetes. The record is from RNAcentral.